RNAcentral lists this ribosomal RNA (1371 nucleotides) under uncultured bacterium. RNAcentral's name for it is "bacterial SSU rRNA". It matches the Rfam family "Bacterial small subunit ribosomal RNA", at positions 28 to 1381 of the family's 1533-position model. The record is from RNAcentral.
GAUGAACGCUGGCGGCGUGCCUAAUACAUGCAAGUCGAGCGAACGGACGAGAAGCUUGCUUCUCUGAUGUUAGCGGCGGACGGGUGAGUAACACGUGGAUAACCUACCUAUAAGACUGGGAUAACUUCGGGAAACCGGAGCUAAUACCGGAUAAUAUUUUGAACCGCAUGGUUCAAAAGUAAAAGACGGUCUUGCUGUCACUUAUAGAUGGAUCCGCGCUGCAUUAGCUAGUUGGUAAGGUAACGGCUUACCAAGGCAACGAUGCAUAGCCGACCUGAGAGGGUGAUCGGCCACACUGGAACUGAGACACGGUCCAGACUCCUACGGGAGGCAGCAGUAGGGAAUCUUCCGCAAUGGGCGAAAGCCUGACGGAGCAACGCCGCGUGAGUGAUGAAGGUCUUCGGAUCGUAAAACUCUGUUAUUAGGGAAGAACAUAUGUGUAAGUAACUGUGCACAUCUUGACGGUACCUAAUCAGAAAGCCACGGCUAACUACGUGCCAGCAGCCGCGGUAAUACGUAGGUGGCAAGCGUUAUCCGGAAUUAUUGGGCGUAAAGCGCGCGUAGGCGGUUUUUUAGUCUGAUGUGAAAGCCCACGGCUCAACCGUGGAGGGUCAUUGGAAACUGGAAAACUUGAGUGCAGAAGAGGAAAGUGGAAUUCCAUGUGUAGCGGUGAAAUGCGCAGAGAUAUGGAGGAACACCAGUGGCGAAGGCGACUUUCUGGUCUGUAACUGACGCUGAUGUGCGAAAGCGUGGGGAUCAAACAGGAUUAGAUACCCUGGUAGUCCACGCCGUAAACGAUGAGUGCUAAGUGUUAGGGGGUUUCCGCCCCUUAGUGCUGCAGCUAACGCAUUAAGCACUCCGCCUGGGGAGUACGACCGCAAGGUUGAAACUCAAAGGAAUUGACGGGGACCCGCACAAGCGGUGGAGCAUGUGGUUUAAUUCGAAGCAACGCGAAGAACCUUACCAAAUCUUGACAUCCUUUGACAACUCUAGAGAUAGAGCCUUCCCCUUCGGGGGACAAAGUGACAGGUGGUGCAUGGUUGUCGUCAGCUCGUGUCGUGAGAUGUUGGGUUAAGUCCCGCAACGAGCGCAACCCUUAAGCUUAGUUGCCAUCAUUAAGUUGGGCACUCUAAGUUGACUGCCGGUGACAAACCGGAGGAAGGUGGGGAUGACGUCAAAUCAUCAUGCCCCUUAUGAUUUGGGCUACACACGUGCUACAAUGGACAAUACAAAGGGCAGCGAAACCGCGAGGUCAAGCAAAUCCCAUAAAGUUGUUCUCAGUUCGGAUUGUAGUCUGCAACUCGACUACAUGAAGCUGGAAUCGCUAGUAAUCGUAGAUCAGCAUGCUACGGUGAAUACGUUCCCGGGUCU